CCUGAUCCAUCCAUGCCGCGUGAGUGAAGAAGGCCUUCGGGUUGUAAAGCUCUUUCGGCCGGGAAGAAAUCGCCUGGGUUAAUACCCUGUGCGGAUGACGGUACCGGCAUAAGAAGCACCGGCUAACUACCUGCCAGCAGCCGCGGUAAUA
This 151-nucleotide ribosomal RNA is filed under the name uncultured bacterium. Its description in RNAcentral is "partial 16S ribosomal RNA". It matches the Rfam family "Bacterial small subunit ribosomal RNA", at positions 382 to 525 of the family's 1533-position model. The record is from RNAcentral.